This 654-nucleotide ribosomal RNA is filed under the name Triticum aestivum (bread wheat). Its description in RNAcentral is "partial small subunit ribosomal RNA". Lineage: Eukaryota; Viridiplantae; Streptophyta; Magnoliopsida; Poales; Poaceae. The record is from RNAcentral.
AUGGCGGGACCAAAAAAGGGCUCUUCUUUUACUUGGCAAAGUAUUGUAUCGGGUAUACAAACUUUUAAGAGAGGAUGCAUUUGGCGGGUGGGUACGGGCUCACAGAUUAAUAUCUGGAAUGAUCCUUGGAUCCCUACUAGUGAAACAAGGAAAAUUAUAACUCCAAGGGGAGCUACUAUGCUAACCAAGGUGGAGGAGUUAAUUGAUCCCUAUACUGGGCAGUGGGAUGAGAUAUUGAUCAGAGAUGUUUUUUGGCAAGUUGAUGCACAUAGAAUCUUGCAAAUACCUCUCAGAGUGCAGGUGAUGGAAGACUUUGUAUCAUGGGACUAUAACAGAUCGGGCGUUUUCAAUGUGCGAUCAGCCUAUCAUGUGCAAUUCCAACACCAAUUUGGAGGUAGGGAGAACUUAAGCGCAUCACAAGGUAGCAGUCCAAAUCAUAUCUGGAAACGUGUGUGGGGACUGAGAAUUCCUGGCAAAGUUAAACAUUUCGUGUGGAAGGUGAUUAGGGGAGUUUUACCAUGCUAUGGUACCCUUGCAAACCGCCAUAUUCCAGUGACGGGACAAUGCCCAAUAUGCAAGACAGGAUAUGAGGAUUCGCAACACUGCUUAUUCACAUGUAAGAGGGCAAAGGAUAUUUGGAAGGAGCUGGGACUA